UGGGGAUGGACUUAAAGAACACA
RNAcentral lists this non-coding RNA (23 nucleotides) under Mus musculus (house mouse). The record is from RNAcentral. Lineage: Eukaryota; Metazoa; Chordata; Mammalia; Rodentia; Muridae.